CUUGGUCAUUUAGAGGAAGUAAAAGUCAUAACAAGGUUUCCGUAGGUGAACCUGCGGAAGGAUCAUUAAUAGUGCCCUCUGAUGCAAAUCAUUGGGUUAGAUCUGCUCUCUUCGCAAGAAGAGGGUUUCCAUACACACCGUGAACUGUGGCUUCGGCCAUCACAAACUGUUAGUAAUGAAUGUAAUAUCAUAACAAAAACAAAACUUUUAACAACGGAUCUCUUGGCUCUCGCAUCGAUGAAGAACGCAGCGAAAUGCGAUAAGUAAUGUGAAUUGCAGAAUUCAGUGAAUCAUCGAAUCUUUGAACGCACCUUGCGCCCUUUGGUAUUCCGAAGGGCAUGCCUGUUUGAGUGUCAUGAAACCUCACCCCACUUGGGUUUUUGCCUGAGCGGUGGUGUAUUGGGUGUUGCCUUGCUAAAGGCUCGCCUUAAAGACAUAAGCACCUUGGAUGUAAUACGUUUCAUCCUUCUGGGUGGCUGAUAACCCCACAUAUUCAUGAUCUGGCCUCAAAUCAGGUAGGGCUACCCGCUGAACUUAAGCAUAUCAAUAAGCGGAGGA
RNAcentral lists this ribosomal RNA (558 nucleotides) under uncultured fungus. RNAcentral's name for it is "eukaryotic LSU rRNA". The stretch from base 203 to 356 matches the Rfam family "5.8S ribosomal RNA". The record is from RNAcentral. Lineage: Eukaryota; Fungi.